GACGGAGGGUGCAAGCGUUAUCCGGAAUCACUGGGCGUAAAGCGUCUGUAGGUGGUCAGAUAAGUCAACUGUUAAAUCUUGAGGCUCAACCUCAAAAUCGCAGUCGAAACUAGUCGACUAGAGUAUAGUAGGGGUAAAGGGAAUUUCCAGUGGAGCGGUGAAAUGCGUAGAGAUUGGAAAGAACACCGAUGGCGAAGGCGCUUUACUGGGCUAUUACUGACACUGAGAGACGAAAGCGAGGGGAGCAAACGGG
RNAcentral lists this ribosomal RNA (253 nucleotides) under uncultured bacterium. RNAcentral describes it as "partial 16S ribosomal RNA". It matches the Rfam family "Bacterial small subunit ribosomal RNA", at positions 524 to 776 of the family's 1533-position model. The record is from RNAcentral.